UACGGAGGGGGCAAGCGUUAUUCGGAAUCAUUGGGCGUAAAGGGCGCGUAGGCGGCUUGGCAAGUCGAAGGUGAAAUCCCCCGGCUCAACUGGGGAACUGCCUUCGAAACUGCCAGGCUAGAGUCCGGGAGAGGGUAGUGGAAUUCCCAGUGUAGCGGUGAAAUGCGUAGAGACUGGGAGGAACACCAGUGGCGAAGGCGGCUACCUGGACCGGUACUGACGCUGAGGCGCGAAAGAGUGGGGAGCAAACAGG
Molecule: ribosomal RNA, 253 nt
Filed under: uncultured bacterium
Lineage: Bacteria
Description: partial 16S ribosomal RNA
Rfam family: Bacterial small subunit ribosomal RNA
Source: RNAcentral